Long non-coding RNA from Polypterus senegalus (gray bichir), 1316 nucleotides. RefSeq lists it as uncharacterized. The record is from RefSeq and is a predicted model, not a curated record. The transcript has 4 exons. Lineage: Eukaryota; Metazoa; Chordata; Cladistia; Polypteriformes; Polypteridae.
CUACGGUAUCUACGACGUCACUUACAUACCGCCCAUAGCAUCCAAAUACUGUACGCGACAAGGGUCCGGCUGCAGGUCGCAGACUUGGCCUUCCACGCCCCCUGCCUUGCACAGUCCGCCCCACAACCGCCCACAGUCCGUAGAAGGAGAAGAACUGCUGUACAGUUUUUUUAGUUCGAAAAAGAAAAGGAGCUGAAAACGUUUUCCGACACGGAACAAUGGCACAGCAGAACCACAUAUGGACUCAAAGAAUAAAAGGCUCAGUAUAUUUAAAGAAACUUUAGAUCCAUUAAACAAAAUUAAUGAGAUGUACGAUUAUAUACUGUAUAGCGAAUCCAAGUGUUCUCUGUUUAUCGUCAUUACUGACCUAUCCUAUUUUAAGCAUAUCGUUUUAAUCUACCUCUUAUAUUACUUCUUUUUAAUAUUUGCCAUAUUAUUUCAUCAGUAUUAACUUUUUCACUUAUUUAUGAGAUGUUAUGUAGAGAAUCUGCAAUGUUAGUGUACAAUAUGAAAGGUAUUUAUGUUUAUCGUCGUCAUUAACGUUUGUUAAAUAUCUUAUUAACAUGAUUUUUCUGUAGUUAUUUAUAAAAGCGCAUUAGUGCUUUCUGCCAAAUUAGUAUUACAUAUUAUUUUUGUCUUGAUUUCCACAGUCACAUUUCUCCAUAAAGGCAGAGAAUAUAAAAACAACUUUGAUUACAUCGAUUAAAUAUCCAAAUGAAUCCAAGUGCCCUCUUCGUAAAAAGCAAAGAGACUACAGCAUCCUGCUGCCUGCCCUCAGAGUCACGAAGGCCACAUUGUCAAGUAUGCAGGUUUCCAAAGGACCAUCUCUGUAUUUCAUCCUCGAGGCUCCCUUCAGUUUUAACGAGUCCUCUUUAGAAUGACAUGCCGGCUUUGAGGAAGUGUUGGUGUAGAAGGUUACUUGAGAACUCCAGCACCAAGGGUAAAACGUAUUACAGCAACAGGGAAUCCUUCAGCAUUUUACCGAGGCUGAGAACAUUUCUGUGUUCAGGGGGCGAGUCUCACUCCCUGCAUUACUGUCAAAGGACAAAGACGACAUUGAGGAGGCCCUUCAGAAAUUGGAUUUGCUAGCUGAAUUUCCAGAAGAAGAGGAGAGGGAAUAUGUCUUUAGACCCUUCGUCAUCCAUUUUUCACAUAUGGAAGACAUGCAGCUGUUUUUAGAUAAUGUGAGAGAAAAAAGGAAAAUGACUGUUUUGUGAGAAAAUGUAACCAACAUACAUGUCCCUUAUUGUUCAGUUACAACCUACAAUUCUUGUUCUAUAUUUUAUAUAUUCUUUAGCUUUUUUGUAAUAAAUGUU